This is a long non-coding RNA of Poeciliopsis prolifica (blackstripe livebearer), 483 nucleotides long. RefSeq lists it as uncharacterized. The transcript has 3 exons. Lineage: Eukaryota; Metazoa; Chordata; Actinopteri; Cyprinodontiformes; Poeciliidae. The record is from RefSeq and is a predicted model, not a curated record.
GGAAGGAUUCCUUAACGGCCUCAGUGAAGACCAGGUCCAACUGGACUCCAUCCAGAACCGACUGCUGCUGCUCCUCCUGCUGGACGGCAGGGGAAACGCGUCUGGAAUCUGCUCCCUGCACCACGGAGUCAUGACUGAAGGACGGGAACAGAGCCGUUAGAAACACGGACAGUUACAGGUCAAAGGCUAAAGGUCAUCAUCCUGAACCAAUAUGGCUGCUUGGAGGGGUUGAAGCUGAUGAUGCUACUGCUGCUGGUCACGUUUUCCAAUGGUGGACAUGCUUCUGCUAAUCCCCUAACCAAGUGGCGCCCUGGUUCCAACAUCUUUAAAAAUCUGAUUCAGACACAACGUGUGGCGUUUGCAGAGACCCAGGUCCAGAACCGGGUCCAGAACCAGUUGCAGGUCGGCCUCACCGUCACAGCGCCUCCUGGUGUUGAAGGCAAACUGCUCCUGAGUGCUGUUUCUCUGGGCGGCGCCACCGGG